UUUCCAGACUCCUACGGGAGGCAGCAGUGAGGAAUAUUGGUCAAUGGGCGGAAGCCUGAACCAGCCAAGUCGCGUGAGGGAAUAAGGCCCUACGGGUCGUAAACCUCUUUUGCCGGGGAGCAAGGGCGGGGACGUGUCCCGGCCCGGAGAGUACCCGGAGAAAAAGCAUCGGCUAACUCCGUGCCAGCAGCCGCGGUAAUACGGAGGAUGCGAGCGUUAUCCGGAUUUAUUGGGUUUAAAGGGUGCGUAGGCGGGCUUUUAAGUCAGCGGUAAAAAUUCGGGGCUCAACCCCGUCCGGCCGUUGAAACUGGGGGCCUUGAGUGGGCGAGAAGAAGGCGGAAUGCGUGGUGUAGCGGUGAAAUGCUUAGAUAUUGCGCAGAACUCCGAUUGCGAAGGCAGCAUACCGGCGGCGAUCUGACGCUGAGGCACGAAAGCGUGGGUAUCGAACAGGAUUAGAUACCCGCGUA
Molecule: ribosomal RNA, 467 nt
Filed under: uncultured bacterium
Lineage: Bacteria
Description: bacterial SSU rRNA
Rfam family: Bacterial small subunit ribosomal RNA
Source: RNAcentral